GCGGCAUGCCUUACACAUGCAAGUCGAACGGUAACAGGUCUUCGGAUGCUGACGAGUGGCGAACGGGUGAGUAAUACAUCGGAACGUGCCCAGUAAUGGGGGAUAGCUCGGCGAAAGCCGGAUUAAUACCGCAUACGCCCUGAGGGGGAAAGUGGGGGAUCGCAAGACCUCACGUUAUUGGAGCGGCCGAUGGCUGAUUAGCUAGUUGGUAGGGUAAAGGCCUACCAAGGCGACGAUCAGUAGCUGGUCUGAGAGGACGAUCAGCCACACUGGGACUGAGACACGGCCCAGACUCCUACGGGAGGCAGCAGUGGGGAAUUUUGGACAAUGGGGGAAACCCUGAUCCAGCAAUGCCGCGUGUGCGAAGAAGGCCUUCGGGUUGUAAAGCACUUUUGUCAGGGAAGAAAUCCUUUGGGCUAAUACCCUAGGGGGAUGACGGUACCUGAAGAAUAAGCACCGGCUAACUACGUGCCAGCAGCCGCGGUAAUACGUAGGGUGCAAGCGUUAAUCGGAAUUACUGGGCGUAAAGCGUGCGCAGGCGGUUGUGUAAGACAGGUGUGAAAUCCCCGGGCUUAACCUGGGAAUUGCAUUUGUGACUGCACGACUAGAGUGUGUCAGAGGGGGGUGGAAUUCCACGUGUAGCAGUGAAAUGCGUAGAUAUGUGGAGGAACACCAAUGGCGAAGGCAGCCCCCUGGGAUAACACUGACGCUCAUGCACGAAAGCGUGGGGAGCAAA
This 736-nucleotide ribosomal RNA is filed under the name uncultured beta proteobacterium. RNAcentral describes it as "bacterial SSU rRNA". It matches the Rfam family "Bacterial small subunit ribosomal RNA", at positions 39 to 772 of the family's 1533-position model. Lineage: Bacteria; Pseudomonadati; Pseudomonadota; Betaproteobacteria. The record is from RNAcentral.